UACGUAGGGUGCGAGCGUUGUCCGGAUUUAUUGGGCGUAAAGAGCUCGUAGGCGGUUUGUCGCGUCGGCCGUGAAAUCUCCACGCUUAACGUGGAGCGUGCGGUCGAUACGGGCAGACUUGAGUUCGGUAGGGGAGACUGGAAUUCCUGGUGUAGCGGUGAAAUGCGCAGAUAUCAGGAGGAACACCGGUGGCGAAGGCGGGUCUCUGGGCCGAUACUGACGCUGAGGAGCGAAAGCGUGGGGAGCGGACAGG
This 253-nucleotide ribosomal RNA is filed under the name uncultured bacterium. Its description in RNAcentral is "partial 16S ribosomal RNA". It matches the Rfam family "Bacterial small subunit ribosomal RNA", at positions 524 to 776 of the family's 1533-position model. The record is from RNAcentral.